GUCUUGCAGGCUGGGGUCCCAGGUGAGAGAUGCCAGCAGGGAGCUCUAGAUGGGGAACUGGGUGAGCCUGGCUCGGUAAGGGCGUGCUCAGAACACCCCAUCCCCGAACACGGUCUUGUGUGAUAAAAUGUCACGCAAGAAGAAUCUGAAACCGCGAGAAGAGGAGGACACGGCCAGACUGCACCGAACCCCGGCACCUCUGUGGGGAAAAGCAGGUCAGGCUGAGCGGGGCCGGCGGGGACACGCGCUCCUGGGCUUCUCCAGAGUCUGCCGGGGCCGGGCCCGGGACCGAGGCUGGGACGCGCUGUGCAGUCCCACCCCUCACACCCCUCGCACGCCUGGAAACACCCUCGGGGUAACACAAGCCGGGGUUGAGUUUCUUGAAGAGAAGCUGGCUGCAUCCUGGAGCCAGGGAAAGAGGAGCACAGGGGCCAAGCGGUCCAGGGCCACGGAGGAGCAGGACCCCUGGGGAAAGGCCCGGGUCUAGGCCGGGGCCAGGGGACCGUGGUGGAGACCUCAAAAAUGGCAGAACACGGAAGCAGGGCGAGAAAAGUAAACGUAGUCCUUGCGGCAGUUUGAAAUACACGCGGGUAAACGCUGGGUGACUCCGCCCGGAUGCAGAGUGGGGGUCUGUGUCUCUCCCCACAGGCUGCAGGGACCGGGCUCUGGGUAACCAGCAGAAGGUAACAGAACGAGGCUGCUUUUCCUCCAGGCUGUUCUGGUGUCCGCGCGUGGCUUGUGCGCUGACUCCUGACUUGGAGCGCCGCGUGGCCAGAGAAAUCUGGGUGCCUCCAGGCCACCAUGGUGAGAGGAGAGGCCACCGCACGAACGGAAGAAGCGAUGGAGACGGUCUUUACGACCUAAGAACAGAAAGAGUUUCUUAUACACAAUCCGAAAAGUAAAAAUUGAUUGAUUGAUUGAUUGAGAUGGAAUCCCACUCUGUCGUCCAGGUUAGAGUGCAAUGGCUUGAUCUCGGCUCAUUGCAACCUCCGCCUCCCGGGUUCAAGCGAUUCUCCUGCCUCAGUCUCCCGAGUAGCUGGGAUUAUAGGCGCCCGCCACCACGACUGGCUAAUUUUUAUAUUUUUAGUAGAGACGCAGUUUCACCGUGUUGACCAGGCUGGUCUUGAACCCCUGACCUCAGGUGAUCCGCCUGCCUCGGUCUCCCAAAGUGCUGGGAUUACAGGCGUGAGCCACCGUGCUGGGCCAAAAAUCAAUUUUAAAACGACCACAUGAAAAAUAAAUCUCCUGUAUCACAGAGCAUGUUCUGAGGAAAAUGAAAGCCACAGAUCCAGAAGAUAUUUGUGACACAUAUGAAAAACAAAAACUCAUAUUCAAAACAUACACAGCAUUGCUAUGAAUCAUUAAGAAAAAUGAUUUCGUCUCCUCUACAGGAGCCUGAGUGAAGGACAAGGACAGAUCAUUAUAAACCAGGGAGCUUGAAGAGCUAGUUAACAAGCACAGAAAAUAUGUUCCCCCACACUGUUAAUCAAGAAAAUUAAAACUGUAAUGAGAUGCCGCAUUGUAUCCAUGGGAUUUCUAAAAGUACAAAGUUCCACAAUACCCGUUGUUGACGGAGCAGGGAAACCGCAGGAGCCUGCAGGAGAUGAGAUUGUAAAUGUGCAAGGACAUUUUGGAGAAGAGUUGACAACAUCUCACUCACGUGUAUCAAGCCAAGUGCCGAAAGAAGAAUUGGUUGUCAUAAAGAAAACAGAAACCCAGAAUGGAUGUAGCUUAUCCCUCCGAUGGAAAGUUACAAAGAAGUUAAAAUGAAUGGGCUGCAUCUCUGUGUAACAAUUUGGAUCAAUAUCAAAGACACAUUUGUUAAAGCAAGGUGUACAAUGAAACCUGCAACAUGAUUUGUCUGUUUAGUAAAACACAGAAAAUCUAACUCCGCCUGGCUUACGAACACACACAUGUGUUAGAAUUUGGGAAAAGGAAAGGGAGGGAGGCCGGCUACACGUGAACUUUUGGAAAAUCUCAGAGGGUCUGGGGCACCAGGUGGAGACCAUGGCAGCCUUCAGGGAUAUGAGGUGAGUCCUUCAACUACAUUUGCAAGGUUUUAUUUCUUAGGAAAAUAUUUAAAGCAAAUAUUUCAAAAAUGACUAAAUCUGAGUGGUAGGGAGUCACUGUUUUAUAGAUUAUUCACUUUUCCCUGGGCUUGGAAUGUUUCGUUUUUUCAAAGGUCAAAUGAGAUGCUGCCUUUCCACCAGAUAAAGAUUUACCUGGUGCCUCUGUUACUGCCCAGCAGCGCCUGAGGACGUGGGGGCUGCUGCCCAACACGGAGGCUGGGCUGGCCUGGUCCGUGGGCUCAGGUUCUCAUCCUCUGCACGUGCAUCUGCCUCCUGUGCGUCUCUGUGCACACGCUUGUAUCUGGAUGCAGAGUCCUGUGCCCAGUGUACAUGCACAGAUGUGCGCAUCUGGGUAGAUGUGCUGGUUCGCUGUGUGAGCAUGCACAGACCCUUGUUCACCGUGUGUGCGCAUCCGUGCAGUGUGGACAUCUGGACAGGACCCCGUGCUCCCUGUCUCUGCCGCUGAGAUGUUUCCUAGCUGUGCACAGAAUUCACUCUCCUACUGGAGGGCUCUGACUGAAAGCUCUGAUGCGGCAGGCCUUCUCUUGACACUUGGUUAAGAAGGAUGUGUUUGCUUCCCCUUCUGCCAUGAUUGGAAGUUUCCUGAGACCCCUCCAGCCAUGCUGAACUGAUUUCCUGAAGACACCAUCCCAGUCAAGUGGUCUGCCUCAUACUGAGCCACCAGACCACCCAGCAUGUCCUCACCCGCGUGGACAGAUGACAGGGGGCUCUGAGCAUGCCCCAGUGCACCUUACGCACCUGUGAAGGUUGGGAGCCUGAGUGCAGCUCCUGUGGCACUGCCCGUGGCCAGGGAGAUGCCUCCUCAGUGCUCCUGACCCUCGGUGGAGGACCGGCCAGCGUGUGUGCCGACAGUGUGUCCACACAGGUGUGCUGCGCCCAAUGGGCAAGUCGGAAACAAAGGAAAAUGCUCUCUGAAGGAAAAGGCAAAGCAAUUUGGAUUUCUGCGAGAAAAUGAGACUGCAUGUGGCACUGUAAAUACCCUUGCUGCUGAACUUCUCGCUCCCCCCAGAUACACCCUUCAUAUUGACAUGUCUAGAACCUUAAACUGAACCAAGUUGAAAAGUGAGAUUAAUUAGGGCUGAGUUAACAGUUAACACAUACAAUGAAAUAUUGAAUAAGGCUUACUGAGCAAACAAGAAUAUACAGAAGUGGAGGAGACAAAGAGGAUAUUAAAAAUGCAGACAGUGAUGAGGCAGAUAGCUGGGACAAAUAAUGAAAAAUAGUAAAGGAGAUAAGGCAGAUAUUGGAGGAGCAAAGAGUCUCUGAAAUAGAUAUCGGUAUUGAAAGAUGCUAAACACGCUUCUAAAGAGACUUUCUAGCCGACACAGGGAGCUCACUGAUGGAUGAAGUAGAAACAUUUUUAAAUGGAAUCAAACAGGGCAAAGCGGGAGAAGAAAAAGAAGUAGGUAAACCAGUAAAUUAACUUUUCUCGUGUGUGCUGUGUACUAUUUGUGAGUGAGCAAUGAACGCUGUGGCUCCCUGGAGGGGCUGUGGUGGGAAGUUUCACUGCGAUCAAGUAGAGGUGGUGCCUUUGGACCUCUUCUCCUGAACCUGCAGGGAGAGGCGCAGAAUAUUCACAAGGUGAAGAUGCAACAAUUCAAAUGAGUGUCCAGGUUUUCAGGGUGGUUGCUAAACCCCAAAAGACCGAUAGCUUCGGGCAAAAGACUGCAGAAAGAACAGCUUUACAUUUUUACGGAAGCAAUGGGAAAUAUACCCUGUAAGCCUUGAAAAAUUCCCGAAGGGAUUCCUGUUCAUUCCUGUGGAUCCUAAUGGGCCAGCAUAGACCUGUUAGUCAAAAGAGGAUUUAUCUACAUUGCACACUCAUUCAGGCAGGCAGGGAAGUCAACGCCACUUUCAGAUGUUUGUAGAGCAUGAACUCUGUCCGUUCCCACGCCCUCCAAAGGCUGUUACACAGGGAUGCCCGCUUCUGGACAGAAGUGAUUCAUGCAGGAUGAGAACCAUGACCACAGAAGAUUUUGUGCAUGUGGUUAUUUCAAUAUUUAAUUUAAGUGUAUGCAUGAGUGUUCAGGAUAAAAAUGCUUGGAGUGUACUUUAAUUCCAUUAAAAAUGUAUACAUUA
Molecule: long non-coding RNA, 4169 nt
Filed under: Homo sapiens (human)
Lineage: Eukaryota; Metazoa; Chordata; Mammalia; Primates; Hominidae
Description: neuronal hypoxia inducible, placenta associated, transcript variant 4 (NHIP)
Source: RNAcentral